CUGAACACAUUGGCUUUUGCUGCUUUGGGCUUUUUUGGUUGGUUGGAAUUAUACCAUUUAAUGUGUACAUGGAAUCUUGUUAAUUUGGUAAUGCUAUAAAUUUGCAAAUAUUUUCUAGGUGAAUAUUGAAGAAAACUAAUCUUUAAUAGCUUAAAAAUUGGGUUACAUUAUGAAAAUUUUUAGAUUGAAUAAAUUUCAGGGCUGAACUAAUUUUAUUUAAAACCCUAUUUUUCCUUUUUACUUCAACAGUUGGUGACAUUUAUAGUAUAAAAUACACACACACACACACACACAGACUCACACAGAGUGUAUUUUAACUUUUUUUCUGGACCUUACAUUAUUGUUGUGGAAGAGUUGUCUGCUUACUAAUUUCUAAUGCUUUCCAACAUGAACAGUUGAAGUCAGCUAUUGACAAAAACCACCUAUGGUAGACGAGCAGCACCUCAGCUCUUAAAAUCUGGGCGGGCUGCAGAAAAUACACUCUUUUUUUUUUUUUUUUUUUUGUCUUUUUCCUUUUUAUCGGUACUGGGGACCGAACUCAUGACUGCCUGCUUGCAAGGCAGGCGCUUAUGCCGCUGAGCUAAAUCCCCAGCCCCAGAAAAUACACUCUUUAAGGAUGCACUUUUUCUCCUGUUGCCUACCUUCCCCCUCACGGUUCUGUCUCAGGGAACUUCCAGUGCUUGAAGUCAGCGCUGUCUUUAUAUUGGACCAGAUCCACUUUUGUUCUGGUGCAGAAGUAAUGUGGUAGCUAGAAAAGUCCCUGAGCAAUAAGUUACCAGGGUCUGUUCCACAAUUAGGAAGGAUCUCUGUGUUUGUAAAUAGCCAUGAUUUCUAGCAGCAUUAUAGAGGAGGUUUUCAUUUACGUUGUGAUCUUAGGUGUCUUAGUCUUGCUUACCCCAAAUAAUAGUUGUAGUAUAUACUGUACCUUUUUUUUUUUAAAGAUAGCCAAAGCUAAGUUUUAUUGUAGUCAUGUUGUUAGUAUAAAUUGUUUCCUUUGUCUUUUUGCCACUACAUACAAGAUUUUCAUUCUUAACAGAUAAAUUUAGUGCUUUGGUAUUGUGCAUAAAUUGUAAAUAAAACAGUAAGCAUUGUGUGAUGUAUGCAUUGUAGCUUUGAUUUGCUGUUCUUGACCCCACUCUCUCCUGACUUUUCACUGUGUCCAACUUAUUGCCAUAUCCUAUUUACUUCCUUCCUGUGUCUGGACUGUGUCCAUUCUGUGUAAUUGCCAAUCCCUUGGGUUUGGUCAUUCUUGUCUCUCAAGUGUUUUACAAAAAUGCUCAUCUCAACUGGCUGCUCUGCCUUAUUUUACUGAGAUAUCUUAAUUUAUUUAAUGUUUGAAAAGUGAAUAGUUAUGCUGCUUUAAUCUUUGAUUUGAUAAUUCUACAGUGAGUUGUCAGUCUUGUAAGUAAUGUCAUUUACCAAGUUUAUCUUGUGGUUCAUAAAAGUUGGUACCAGUUACAUUGGAUUAGUCAUGCAUUGGAGUGUCUGCUUUCUUUCACACUAAUACAUAUGAAGUGAAAUAAUUUUUACUAAUACAGGAAUUAUUGUUAGUAAAGAUUAAAACUAUGUAGGAGCAGUGUCUUUUUUAAUGUUAGUAUUUUAAAAACUAUCAAUAAAUAUAGAAGUAAAAUAGGUAAAACAAGUUUUUGGGUCAGUAUAUGUAAAAUUUAGCCAUUUGUAAACAGCACCAUGGAGUGGAGGGCUCUGAUCUGAGCUCACCCACGCAGCAGUCAUGUGCCUCUUGCUGAAACAUGCUGACACCAUCUUGUGAAUUUUCUCAACAUGAAAAUGAAGUGGUUUUACUAAAAAUCUAUGGUUCCUUUGUUAUAAGAUAGUCCUCCCCUCUUAACUUCCUCCUGGCAGGGGUACUUCUUUGUUUUCUCACUAUUGAAGUCAUUUUUCUUCACCUGUUGAAGCCUUCUGGGAACUUUGGCACUUACUUCAGGGCAGAAUAGAAUCAGGAACAGAACUAGGAACAAAACAGCAACAGAACAGAACAAUUGGCAAUUCUUUAUGGAACCUUAGCAUCUUGGCAAUAGCAAUUCCAUCAGGUCAAUGAUUACAUUAUUGUUUUGCUUUCCUAAGUCCUUCAUUGAGGGUAGGGGCUAUAUCUUGUUUGUCUUUUUAUCCUUAGUGUCUGGCAUAGCUGUAACUCAGCAAAUGUUUGUCAAAUGAAUGUUUAGCAACUAAAUCUAACCAGUACCAAUGGAAACAUGAUAUGAUCACAGAUUUUUGCUUUAGAUAUGGAGGCGUUUUAUUAAUUUGUGUAAUGUCUAUUUUAUAGACACAUGGAAACAGUUUUCAUGGCAGACAGAAUAAGAGUAUAUACCAGGUCUUAUGAGCGAGAAACAAUAUGUUUGUGUGGAGCAUUUUGUUUGCAGUUCUGGUUUGGGGCAUACAUUUUUUUGAGCCAAAACAAAAAUGAACAAUGAAUUUUUGCAUUGGCAGAUAAUGAGAGAUUGAGUUUUGAGUUGAUGAAUUUAGUAUUGGAGUUGGAUCUGCAGGGCAUGAGCCUCUGUCAGGGACAUCUUAAAAUAGCUGCUUGAUUGUAUCGUUUAUUUGUCAGAAUGAGUUAUUUAUCCAUAUCCUAAUGCGUAUCCAAUUGGAGACCCUGAAGAGUACUGUAUGAAAUGGUGUUCCAUAUUCUCCAGUUAUUUUUAGUUUUAAGCUGAAAACUAGAGAAUACUAUUUUCAGGGACUUACAUUGUUCAAACUAAACAUUUUUAUAUGAAGGCAUAAUACAACAUAUGCCUCUUUAAAUUUCUUUUUUUUUUAAAAUUUUGGAAACCGUGAGUUUUCUACUAACCUAGUAAUUCUAGAAUGCUUUUUAAUUGCUGUUGGUAAAUAAAUAAAACAACUUCACAAAUAGCUAAACCACUUAAUACUAUCUUUACUAUUAUGUUUCACUGGAUAUGCAUCUGUACUUUUAAAUUUGCUGCUAGCUUAUUUGAAACUCUGAUUGUCUUUUUUUUUCUAGUAGUGGAGGUUAAAUCUGGAGCCUUCAUACUAAGCUACAUUCCCAGCCUUUUUAACUUUUUAUUUCUUUUAAAAUUUUGAGACAGGGUUUUGCAAAGUCACUGAGUUGCCCAGAGUGGGUUUUAGUUUAGAAUUUGCCUGCCUUAAGCUCCCAGAGUGUUGGGAUCGUAGAUAUGUACCACUAGGUAAACCAUUCUCCUCCCACUGCUCUCUCACCUGCCCCGUCAUUUAACUUCUCUUCUGUAAAUGUGAUAAUGAAAUUCUAUAUUUAUUUUCCUUUUUCCAUAUAUCCAAAGCCUCUGAAUUUUUAAUUUUGAUUUUUUCUAUACAAAUGAAUGGAAAUAGAUGACUACCGAGAGAAAACUGGUUUCUUAAUUUAGUAAAUUAUAAUCUACUUAGUUUUGGAAAGUUCUGUUUAAACUUUUAGAAAUCAUAUUUUUGGUGAGGGCUCAGACCAGGACCUUCAGUUGCUUGCUGAAUGUGAAUUAAUUCUUAUAGAUACCUCAUAUUCGUGACUUAAUCUGAAUUCCUCUUCAGAUCAAUCAGUUUCUUUCUCAGGCUUGAGAUGUUGUACUCACUGUUGACUGCCUUUUCUCUUUCUUCUUGUGGCCAGGUGAUAGAAUUGGUAGAAUAUUAUAGUGUCUCUCCUUCUCUGUCUUCUUUCAUCCCCAUUGCUGUUAUCUUUAACUCAUGCCUGUGCUGGUCCAGUCAUCUCUUGUUUCACUUCUGUAGUCUUUUGGGGGUUGAAUAAUCUAAAUGCCCUAAUUCAGUGGCUGUACUUUGUUGUUAAAAAUGUAAAAGACUAUUGUCUUUUUCAGUAAAUCACACUUGAUUUCUUGAUUAUUACAAAAAUUGGGGCUGAUUGAUUGAUUGCAGGGAUUCUUGGUGGCAAACCUAGUGUGUCUUAGCACUUACCUGAAUAUUGCAGUGCAUUCUAUUAGGUACAGUUAGUGGAUGUAUAACUGGUAAGACAAAAUAAUUUCCUCCCUAACCUCUUACUGAGAAUAAUUUAAAAAUACUACACCAGGAAAAGAACAAAAAAGUAAAGAAGGGUAAGACCAAGCUCUGGGAGAAGGAAACUCCUAGAGCAGGAGAUCCUAACAGUUGAGCCACUUCUUUAGUAGGGUCAUUCAUUUCUUCUGGAAUGGGAGGGAGGCGAGGGCAGUUAACCCAGGAGUAGUAAGACUAACAAGCUAUUGACUGGUCUUUACUUGAACUCUUACUUGACCCUACCAGAAGCAAAAGUAAAUUCUCUCAGGAGAAAGGUAACAUUAGCCAGGCAUGCAUUUGUCUAGUAAUUUUUUGUAAACAGUGUCUGGAACUUAAAUCAGAAAUAACUAGUUCUAUUAGGAGAUUUAGGUGAUCAUAAAGUCAAGAGAAAUGAGAGAUAAGAAUUAAAUAAGAUACUGAGAAAAUUAAUCAGCAAUAGUCUCUCACUUUAAAGAAACAAUGAAACUUUUUCUUCAGUUGGAAAAUGUUCCUGCUGAAAACCUGAGAUUAAGGUAGGAAUGAAGAAUAACAGAAAAGAUAAAUAUGUGAGUACUGAACAAUAAUAGUAAUUUCUUGAAGAAUAUUACAAAAAUAUGUAGUUUGAUAUGUAGGUGGCAAGCAGUAAGUUGGUUUAAAAUGUUCUAAGGCCCUUGCAUUAUUCAAAUAGUACCAAAGUACUAAUUUAUUUUAGACUAUGCUAAGACAAGGAGAAUGGGAAUGGAAAAAGAAAAUGUCAUUAACAAGAUAUUACAGGGAGAAAAUGGAAUAAUUUAAAAGUAAAGAGACUCAGAAAAGAUAGAACAAGAUACAGAGAACAGAUAGAAUAAAGAGAAACGAAGAGAACAGAUCUCAACCUCUGUGUGUCUGUUAUUGUUGGAAAUGUUAAAGACUUAGUGCUGCAUUGAAAAAAGAAGCAGUAUCCGCACUGGAUGAGUGCUGCAGCACUACCUAUUGUUGCUGACAAGAGGCGCAGCAUGAAGAUACAUAGUAGGAUACAGAAAACUGAAAGUAAAUAAUAGAAAAAGUUAUACAAGCAUUAACCAAAAGAAAGAUGAUAUAGCUGUACCAAUACCAGGAAAAGUAAAGAGAACUUUUUGUGAUAGAUGGUUCAGUAACCACGAAGAUAACAAUUCUAAAUUUGUAUGUACCUAAUGACAUAGCCAUAAAAAUUAACAGACCCAAGAGGAGAAAAACAUGCAUCCAAAAAUCAUAAUGAGAUUAAGACAGCUCUCUCUGUAACUGAUUGAAUAAGCAGAUGAGACAGAUAAGUAAAAACCAGUAGUCUAGAAGAUUUGAACAUGGUUAAUGAACUUGACUUACUUUAAACUCUGUACUUUUUUUUUGGUACUGGGGAUCGAAUUCAUGGCUGUGUGCUUGCAAGGCAGGUGCUUAUGUCGCUGAGCUAAAUUCUCAGCCCCAAACUCUGUACUUAUUAAUUGUAGGCUAUGUGUUCUGUUGCAGUAAACCUAGAUAAUUUUCAAAAACCACUGUAUAUGCUGCUCAUAAUGUGAGUCCUAAUACAUUUCAGGGAACUUAAAUUAUAAAAAAAAAUGUUCUCUGAGUUGUAACGGUUAAAUUAGAAAUCAGCAAAAGAUGACCCACAAAAGUUCUGUAUGCUUGAAAAUGUGUUACAAAAGCUCAUGUGUGAGAGUGGAAAUCAUAGUGGAAAUAAGUAUGUGUUUUGAGCUGAACGAUAAUAUGUCUCAGGCAUUGUGGAAUUUAACUAAAAUCUCUUAGGGAAAUUUAAAACCCUAAAAUACAUAUAUUACAAAAUAAAGUCUGAAUUACCAUUUAUGGCUUUAACAUUUAUCCUAGGAAAUUAAAAAAUAGCUAUGGAGCCCAAAUAAAGAAAUUAAAUCACAGUCUGUGCUAAUGGACUGCUGGAAGGUAAAGAACUCUUCAGGGAACUGUGCCGUGGUACAAAGCAGAGUAAGGAACGCGCUGUGUUUGAGUGAAGUAGUGACCCCAGCUUGGUAUGGGAGUGACAGGAAGGCAGUAUUGGCAAAGGGGCGUUGUGAGGAAGGAGCUGAGAAAACUGUGAGCAAAAGCUGCCCUGUGGAGAAAUUUUGAUGUGGGUAAGAAGAGUGGGUGGAUUAUAAAGCAUUCCAGGGAAAUUGGGGGAAAAAAAAGACUGAAGUUGAUAGGAACCAAAUUGUAGAAGCCCUUAAAUGCCAGGCGUUAGAUCUUAGAAGAUUGAUGUGGUUAAGGGAUAUAAAAAGAUGGAUUGGAGAAGAAGAGAAUGAGAUGUGGGGAAAUAGUGAUUGUGGUACACUAGGUGAGUUAUAGAUCCACAGUCCCUUAUCCGCAAUUCUAAAAUCCAACAAAAGCUUUGAAAAGGCAAUGUCUUUUUAUAAAUGUAAUGCCAAAACACACGUGGUAGUAAAACUCGAUAUAAAUGUAUGUGAGGAACUUAAUUGGAAACAUUCCUAUAUAGCACUUUCCUCCCAGAAAUGUCAGUGUGGUGUUGUUGACUCUACUGAGUCUUUUGUGUAAUAUAUGCUAUAUGUGCCGUAGUAUUUUCUAAAUUUGAAGAGGUCUGAAUCAAGCCAGGAAUCUUGAAGUAGAACAGGAGAUGAUAAUGAAAAAGAGAAGCCAUCGACUAUGACACAUUGCCGAUGUUAAAGAAGUAGUACAAGGCCAAGUAACUUACUAAGUAAUAACUUCUGCAGUUUAAAGAGAGAGGUAGGGUGAGAGUAUUCAAAGCUUAUUUUGGUUCCAGUAGAAAUGUUAGAAUUUUAUUAGCAGAGGCUUGAGGAGGGAAAGGAGAAUAAAAGUGGUUUUAGAGGGUUUAAUUCAACGGAGAGUUGCCAGGUAAUGCCAUGUGAAGGGCACAAAAAAAUUAUGAUGUGGAUUGAUUCUUGAGCACUUUUUUUUAGAGGGAAAGUAUAAUGGGAAGAGUGAUAGGAUAGACUGUAAAAUGAGUUACAAGUCUUGCUGAUUUUUCCGCUUGUGCAUUAUUUCAGACUUAUCCCUUCCCUCCUGCUUUAAAUUCUUUUGAAUAGCUGUCUGGACAGUAGCCAGCUUCCCUCCCAAUUUCCCUGGGACACCUGGUAAUCGAUCCUUGUACAGUAUUUUGAACUUGCACUUCCCCCAGUCCAUUUUGUUGUUCUCAAACUUUGGUACUUAUUUUCUUAACUUUUGACGCUCCAUUUACUGAAGAACAGACAGUGCUCCUUAACAAAGAUGUCAAGAUUCUUCAUAGUCUUAACUCAGGAUCGAACUCAUGACUACCUGCUUGCAAGGCAGGCGCUUAUGCCGCUGAGCUAAAUCCCCAGGCCCCGUUAUUGAUUUCCUAUUAUGUUGUUUUGAAGUUCUGUAUUGCCUUGCCUUGUUUUGAUUGGCUUUAUUCUGUUGUACUUUGUUUGGUUUUAUUCUCUUUAAAAUUAAAAAUAAGUGGCAAGAUUGAUGGGAUAAGUGUGUUCAAUGUAAGAGGGAAUAUUUUGAAUAGGAUUAAUGGCAGUGUGACUUUCUGUAAUUUUUAGAAUUUAAGCAUUCACUAUAUUUUAUGCUCACACUUCAUAUUAAAUCUCGUCUUUUUGUUAAAGCAUUUUAUUGAUAUUUUAAAAGUAUAUUUCAGUGGUAUUUAAUAAAUUGACUUAUUUAAAAGAAUAA
Cavia porcellus (domestic guinea pig) is the source of this 7578-nucleotide long non-coding RNA. RefSeq lists it as uncharacterized. Lineage: Eukaryota; Metazoa; Chordata; Mammalia; Rodentia; Caviidae. The transcript is spliced from 2 exons. The record is from RefSeq and is a predicted model, not a curated record.